RNAcentral lists this ribosomal RNA (564 nucleotides) under uncultured Glomeromycotina. Its description in RNAcentral is "SSU rRNA". It matches the Rfam family "Eukaryotic small subunit ribosomal RNA", at positions 548 to 1114 of the family's 1831-position model. The record is from RNAcentral. Lineage: Eukaryota; Fungi; Glomeromycota.
UUGGAGGGCAAGUCUGGUGCCAGCAGCCGCGGUAAUUCCAGCUCCAAUAGCGUAUAUUAAAGUUGUUGCAGCUAAAAAGCUCGUAGUUGAAUUUCGGGAUCAGAGUGUCGGUCGUGCCUCGGUACGCACUGGUAUUAUUGGUUCCUACCUUCUGAAGAACCGCGAUGUCAUUAAUUUGGUGUCGUGGGGAAUCAGGACUGUUACUUUGAAAAAAUUAGAGUGUUUAAAGCAGGCUUACGCUUGAAUACAUUAGCAUGGAAUAAUGAAAUAGGACGUUUGAUUCUAUUUUGUUGGUUUCUAGGAUUGACGUAAUGAUUAAUAGGGAUAGUUGGGGGCAUUAGUAUUCAAUUGUCAGAGGUGAAAUUCUUGGAUUUAUUGAAGACUAACUACUGCGAAAGCAUUUGCCAAGGAUGUUUUCAUUAAUCAAGAACGAAAGUUAGGGGAUCGAAGACGAUCAGAUACCGUCGUAGUCUUAACCAUAAACUAUGCCGACUAGGGAUCGGAUGAUGUUAAUUUUUUAAUGACUCAUUCGGCGCCUUACGGGAAACCAAAGUGUUUGGGUUC